CCUUAGCAUCUCUGCGACUGGAGUUUAACCUCAUCUGUACAUGUUGGCACGGAGAAGAAUAACGGUGUUCCGGGCUAAUAAUAAGCUUCAGUCUGAGCAACGCAGGUCAGACUGGUCGGCAGCAACUUCUCAUUUCCUCUGCGAGGCUUGGCAGGUGCCAUCAGCGGGAAAACACCCUAUCCUUUCCACGACCACAGGAACUUCAAGGAAUGCGACUUUCCAAGCAUGCAGCUGCAACCCGCUUCCUCCAAGUUCACACACGGUUAAAACUACUCKGUUACUCGUUGAGUUAAAACGUCAAUGUACUCAUUUAAGUUUUGACUUUUUAAGUUUGGAGAAGUCGUUUAGGGUUGACGAUUUCCAAGUGGAGAAAACACGCAAAUGGCGACAUCUUGUGGUUGUUUUGCAAAGCUGCAUACAAGAAAGUAUUCRCACCGUCACAUGUUUAGCAAUACAUUAACAAACAUUGGAUCAAAAUGUGAGAAAAUAUACCCASUUUAACGACGGUGACUUUCAAAUAACUACUUCUUGGAAAAUUGUAAAACUUUUCUCAGAAGUAAGAAUAUCUCGUCCAUCUCUUCGAAAGCUUUAGUUGUUCUUCCUCUGAAGCAAGUUUUUCUUGCUCUAAAACAAGAACAACUUGCUUUAGAGCAACAMAACUUUAUCCAACUAAAGCAAGUUGUUCUUGCUUUAGUUGGAUAUGUCUUUUGAACAUAUMUUCCUGAUGUGUUCAAAAGUCAGGAUAUGUCUUUUGAACAUAUAACACAGCCGUUAUAAGAUUAAACUUUGUAAAAGAUAAUUCUGGUUAAAAAAUGGG
This is a non-coding RNA of Poecilia reticulata (guppy), 817 nucleotides long. The record is from RefSeq and is a predicted model, not a curated record. Lineage: Eukaryota; Metazoa; Chordata; Actinopteri; Cyprinodontiformes; Poeciliidae.